CCUACGGGAGGCAGCAGCUAAGAAUCUUCCGCAAUGGUCGCAAGACUGACGGAGCGACGCCGCGUGGACGAAGAAUGUCGAGAGAUUGUAAAGUCCUUUUAUAGGUGAGGAAUAACUCUUAGAGGAAAUGCUAGGAGGAUGACGUUAACCUAUGAAUGAGCCCCGGCUAAUUACGUGCCAGCAGCCGCGGUAAUACGUAAGGGGCGAGCGUUGUUCGGAAUUAUUGGGCGUAAAGGGAGCGCAGGCGGUUACAUAAGUCUGAUGUGAAAGACCACAGCUCAACUGUGGGAACGCGUUGGAAACUGUGUGACUAGAGUCGUAGAGGGGGAGAUGGAAUUCCUAGUGUAGGGGUGAAAUCUGUUGAUAUUAGGAAGAACACCGGAGGCGAAGGCGAUCUCCUGGCUAAUGACUGACGCUGAGGCUCGAAAGCGUAGGGAGCAAACAGGAUUAGAUACCCUGGUAGUCUACGCCGUAAACGAUGUGCACUUGGUGUUGGAUCGUAGGAUUCAGUGCCGAAGCAAACGCGAUAAGUGCACCGCCUGGGGAGUAUGCCGGCAACGGUGAAACUCAAAUGAAUUGACGGA
This 584-nucleotide ribosomal RNA is filed under the name uncultured bacterium. Its description in RNAcentral is "bacterial SSU rRNA". It matches the Rfam family "Bacterial small subunit ribosomal RNA", at positions 338 to 917 of the family's 1533-position model. The record is from RNAcentral.